AAAAACAUCGUCUUUUGAUAAUAGAUCGAAACUGCCCGGUGCUGUUAAGUUAACGGCGGCGGUAAUAUGACUGUCCUAAGGUAGCGUAAUAACUUGGCUUCUAAUUGUGGUCUGGAAUGAAUGGGUUAACGAGGGUUUUUCUGUCUUAGAGUUUUUUUGUGAAUUUGGAUUUAAAGUUAAAAUGCUUUAAUGUAGUUUAGGGACGAGAAGACCCCGACGAGUUUUUUCUAUUUCUUUAUUUUUUUUUUUUGGUUGGGGCAACUUUUUAUUUUAAUUUUUUACUUUUUUAAUUUGGGAAUUUUAAGGUUUGCUUUUUAAAGAAUUUUCUUUGUUUUGAUCUAGUUUUUGUUAAAGUUUCCGCGGGGGUAACAGCGUGGUUUUUUCGGACAGCACUUAUAGAAGAAUUAGCUCGCGACCUCGAUGUAGAAUCAUUCUUUCCUGGUGGAGCAGCAAUUACUAGGGUAGGUUUGUUC
Molecule: ribosomal RNA, 473 nt
Filed under: Rhabdopleura annulata
Lineage: Eukaryota; Metazoa; Hemichordata; Pterobranchia; Rhabdopleurida; Rhabdopleuridae
Description: partial large subunit ribosomal RNA
Rfam family: Archaeal large subunit ribosomal RNA
Source: RNAcentral